Molecule: ribosomal RNA, 254 nt
Filed under: uncultured soil bacterium
Lineage: Bacteria
Description: partial 16S ribosomal RNA
Rfam family: Bacterial small subunit ribosomal RNA
Source: RNAcentral
AGGACGAACGCUGGCGGCGUGCUUAACACAUGCAAGUCGGGCGGUAAGGCCUUUCGGGGUACACGAGCGGCGAACGGGUGAGUAACACGUGGGUGAUCUGCCCUGCACUUCGGGAUAAGCCUGGGAAACUGGGUCUAAUACCGGAUAUGACUUCAGGUUGCAUGACUUGGGGUGGAAAGAUUUAUCGGUGCAGGAUGGGCCCGCGGCCUAUCAGCUUGUGGUGGGGUAAUGGCCUACCAAGGCGACGACGGGUA